Molecule: long non-coding RNA, 2137 nt
Filed under: Eptatretus burgeri (inshore hagfish)
Lineage: Eukaryota; Metazoa; Chordata; Myxini; Myxiniformes; Myxinidae
Description: lncRNA (ENSEBUG00000017238.1)
Source: RNAcentral
CCCAUUGGCAAAGCCACUCCUCGAUAGUCCGCGUUCCGCGUGUAACUGUGAACUCAUCCAGCACAUCAGAGGGUGCAAAGAGAACCAUGAGCGGUAAUUCCAUUGCGCCGGACAGGCACUGACACCGGGUCUCUGUGCUCCGACCACCGGGACACCAAAGCGAGCGGAGGCGCGUCGGAUCCUCGGAUAUUUCUGGACAGCAUUGCGAUCCCGAGACGGACGCGCUCGGGCUGGUCGACCGCCGGUGCUAUGCGCGCCGAUAGUCGCGCUCUGUACCACCAUGUGUAGGACAAUGCACGGAUGGAGUUCAAGCACAACUUCGGUGAAAUAAGUAUGGGGAAGACACUCCGAUGCCUGGCUGACUCGACGUCCCCGUUGUUACAGAGACUCUGCGUGAUCUGCGCGCUGGCGGCGCUCUUUGCAUCACACUGCUUCAUGUGCACAAUUCCAGACAAUAUGGAGAAUCUCACGACGAGCAUCACUAAUAAUCUACCCACAGAUUAUGAGAUUCACUCAUGGAAUAAAACAAAAAUGUGCAAUAAAGAAGAUGUGCAGAAUUUCCUGGAGAAAGCACAGGAGAUAAUUGAAAUUUUUGAUCGAAAGAUGAAAAACGAAAGUUUUAUAAAGCAAGACAUCUCUAAAGUGCAGAGGAGUGUGAAAGACUUUUCCACAUGCAUCAGCAUGGAAACUUUGGCUCAAAAUUUUUGCUUGCGGUUCCAGCCCAACUUACCCCAGAACUUUUUUGGGGACUUGCACAGCAUAAUGCUGAAUAUAUCUUUGAAUAUACCUGCUCCACAAAACAAAUGCCUUUGCUUCCUUGAGUUUCUGACGAGUCCAAAACCCACAAAUGAUAUGACAGCAAAAUCCACUACGGUCCCAAACACGGAGGAAGUGCAUACUCAGGAAGCCACAGUGACAGAUCAAACCACCUCAUACCAACCCCCAUUAAAGAACCCUUUGAAGCAUCAUGAGACGGAUGGCUGGAAGAGAAUGGCCAUCAUAUCCAUGUCACUUUGCAUCAUUCUUCUGUUUAUCUUGGCAGCACUGCUUCUGUACUACAGACAACUGACACAACGAGAAGGAUACACCGGUCCGAGAAGAAAUGAAAUAGCGUAGGACUGGUGCCUGGAGCAAAUUUUUAACGAGAACUUUGUGAAAGAGCUGGACCCACUCAACUGGAUCAAUCCCAGCCAGGCAUGAUCUGCACCACAUGGCAGCGCAACGUGGCUCGCCAAGAUUGCCUUUGGGCUUGAUGUAAAUUGAAUGAAGCUACUGGAGUAGAUACUUUACAGUGGAAUAGUAAAGUCUCUGGAACCAAGGUGUGGACAAAAUGACUGCAAGCAACUAUGUUUACUGUGCCAAUAAUAGGUUUUAUAAUGCUUGCAGCUGACCUGAAAUGCUGCUGUGAUUGACCACCUUGCCUGGCCGGAGAAAGAUGAUUUAGAAAGUUGAGAUGGACCUGUAAGUGAAGACAUUGUGUGGACUCUAAAAGUGCAAAAAUACUGAACAUGUUGCACCAUCCCGGGCCCAACACCAUACAAGGCAAACGUUUGUAUUCGGCUGCUGGGUGAUGAAACCGGCUCUGUGCUUGAGAAAGAUGUGGCUUCGUGGUACUGUGGUUUCCUUCCAAAGAUGCUAUAUUUUAAUAUUUUGCGAAUGCAGUGGUUUGACCGACUCCUCUGCUCGUUACUUUUAUGUUUUCAGGAACUUAUAUGAAAUUACAAAGGUCAGAGGCAUGCAACACCUGAGAUUUAAUCCAAAGACCCUUUUAAAUGCUGCUACCAUGGCUGCCUAUUGUGCCACUCAAUGCAUGGAUCACAAAGAACUCAUUUGGUGAGGCUCUCAUGAGCUUUACCUGCAACGACUGGUGGAUGGAUGGACAUUAUUUUUUGUUUUUUGAAGGGGGUUUGUUGGCGGAAGGGGGGAGGGUGGGGGGUAUUUAUGGGCUAUUGCUGCAGUGUGCAAAAGUGAUAACUGUGCAUUUUAAGGUAUUUGCUUACCCGGACAUCUUUUUGGGAAGCUUGACAUGAAUUUGUCUCAUCUUAUGACAAUGUUAAACUUCAGGAGUACAUGGAGUGUAAUCCUGAAACAAGCAGAAAUGCAGAAGCUCUGAAGGAGCUCAUCACAGUAACGAAAC